This 253-nucleotide ribosomal RNA is filed under the name uncultured bacterium. RNAcentral describes it as "partial 16S ribosomal RNA". It matches the Rfam family "Bacterial small subunit ribosomal RNA", at positions 524 to 776 of the family's 1533-position model. The record is from RNAcentral.
UACGUAGGUGACAAGCGUUGUCCGGAUUUACUGGGCGUAAAGAGCGCGCAGGCGGUCGAUCAAGUCGAGUGUGAAAGCCCCCGGCUCAACUGGGGAGGGUCAUUCGAUACUGAUCGACUUGAAGGCGGGAGAGGGAAGCGGAAUUCCUGGUGUAGCGGUGAAAUGCGCAGAUAUCAGGAAGAACACCUAUGGCGAAGGCAGCACUCUGGGACGGUACUGACGCUGAGACGCGAAAGCGUGGGGAGCGAACAGG